RNAcentral lists this ribosomal RNA (323 nucleotides) under uncultured bacterium. Its description in RNAcentral is "bacterial SSU rRNA". It matches the Rfam family "Bacterial small subunit ribosomal RNA", at positions 28 to 359 of the family's 1533-position model. The record is from RNAcentral.
GAUGAACGCUAGCGGCAGGCUUAACACAUGCAAGUCGAGGGGUAUAGUUCUUCGGAACUAGAGACCGGCGCACGGGUGCGUAACGCGUAUGCAAUCUACCUUUCACAAAGGGAUAGCCCAGAGAAAUUUGGAUUAAUACCUCAUAGUAUAGUACUUUGGCAUCAAGGAACUAUUAAAGUCACAACGGCAAAGAUGAGCAUGCGUCCAUUAGCUAGUUGGUAAGGUAACGGCUUACCAAGGCUACGAUGGGUAGGGUCCUGAGAGGGAGAUCCCCCANACUGGUACUGAGACACGGACCAGACUCCUACGGAGCAGCAGUGAGG